This 331-nucleotide ribosomal RNA is filed under the name uncultured bacterium. RNAcentral's name for it is "bacterial SSU rRNA". It matches the Rfam family "Bacterial small subunit ribosomal RNA", at positions 29 to 346 of the family's 1533-position model. The record is from RNAcentral.
AACGAACGCUGGCGGCGUGGAUAAGACAUGCAAGUCGAACGGGACAACAUCUGUAGCAAUACAGGUGUUGUUUAGUGGCGAACGGGUGCGUAACACGUGGGCAAUCUGCCGAGAAGUGGGGAUAGCUCGCCGAAAGGCGAAUUAAUACCGCAUAUGAUCAGUGAAGACAUCUUCACGACAUCAAAGCCGGGGCAACCUGGCGCUUCUUGAUGAGCCCGCGGCCUAUCAGCUAGUUGGUGAGGUAACGGCUCACCAAGGCUUUGACGGGUAGCUGGUCUGAGAGGACGACCAGUCACACUGGAACUGAGACACGGUCCAGACACCUACGGGU